Gadus morhua (Atlantic cod) is the source of this 703-nucleotide long non-coding RNA. NCBI's taxonomy places the organism in Eukaryota, Metazoa, Chordata, Actinopteri, Gadiformes, Gadidae. The record is from Ensembl.
AUGGACUCUGAGGGCACAAGAACCCAACCAAUGUUACAUACCCUAUUCGGAGACCGUUCCCAGUUCUGGAAACAGAACUCAAGAAAAAUAUAUGCUGUGCCUGAAAGUGACUUUGUGGAGUUUCAGAAUGGGAGAAGAGCUAAAACAAGUCGAAGGGAUGGAGAUUCAAGCCUGCAGGAGGUCCUUGGACGUGUUGACCAGCUGAAGCAAGCCGCCGGGAGUCUCCAAGAGGUCACUAAUUCAAUCAACCAGCUGUCUCAGCUGGCCAAGUCUCAAAAGGAGGAGAUCAUGGCAAAUGUCGGUUUGCAGCCCUUAAAGGAAGCCUUUGCAUGUCUUGUGUGUAAAGCUGUAAUGGCAGAUCCCAUGUUCGCCACAUGCUGUAAAUCGAUAAUUGGAUGUCGUACCUGUGUGGAGCUGUGGUUAGUCACAUCAGACCACUGCUUGAAAUGCAGGGCAGGAGACUUUGAAAAUAAAAUACAUGAAGUGAAGGGUCUCUCUGCUGCCUUGUCACUUUUCAAGGAGAGAAUAAUUGGAUAGAUAAUUGUUUGUUAUUGUUUGUUAUGUUUACAUUACUGGAACUACCUCAGUUUGUUUGUUGGAUGUUAUUAUGGGUACAUGACCAGAAAGAUGUUGUUUGUUGUAAUGUUUAUAUUGUGUGUGACCGUUUAAAAAAAAAAAGACAACUUCCACUUUAUCAUUGUUG